RNAcentral lists this ribosomal RNA (531 nucleotides) under uncultured bacterium. RNAcentral's name for it is "partial 16S ribosomal RNA". It matches the Rfam family "Bacterial small subunit ribosomal RNA", at positions 28 to 523 of the family's 1533-position model. The record is from RNAcentral.
GACGAACGCUGGCGGCGUGCCUAAUACAUGCAAGUCGAACGCACUGACGUCGACAGAAGGUGCUUGCACUGGAAGUUGAUUGACGUGAGUGGCGGACGGGUGAGUAACACGUGAGUAACCUGCCCUUAAGCGGGGGAUAACAUUUGGAAACAGAUGCUAAUACCGCAUAAAAGUUGAGAUCACAUGGUCUUAAUUUGAAAGACGGCCUUUGGCUGUCACUUAAGGAUGGACCCGCGGCGUAUUAGCUAGUUGGUGAGGUAAUAGCCCACCAAGGCGAUGGUACGUAGCCGACCUGAGAGGGUAAUCGGCCACAUUGGGACUGAGACACGGCCCAAACUCCUACGGGAGGCAGCAGUAGGGAAUCUUCCACAAUGGACGAAAGUCUGAUGGAGCAACGCCGCGUGAGUGAAGAAGGUUUUCGGAUCGUAAAACUCUGUUGUUGGAGAAGAACAGGGACUAGAGUAACUGUUAGUCCUUUGACGGUAUCCAACCAGAAAGCCACGGCUAACUACGUGCCAGCAGCCGCGGUAA